This is a long non-coding RNA of Patella vulgata (common limpet), 812 nucleotides long. RefSeq lists it as uncharacterized. The record is from RefSeq and is a predicted model, not a curated record. The transcript is spliced from 2 exons. NCBI's taxonomy places the organism in Eukaryota, Metazoa, Mollusca, Gastropoda, Patellidae.
CUGCAAGUAUUACAUCAAUGUCGUAUUGAUGUUUUGUGCGUGAUUGUCAAGUUAAACCAAUGAAAUAACCACGUCGUCAGAGCUUGCUGUAUCAAACUGACAGAAAUUCAGGUAAGUUUGAAUAAAUAUUUUGACAGUCUGUUUGUAACAUAUGGCUUGAUGAUUUACUUGAGUAAAAUAAAAGCUAUGAUUUCUAUUCUCGUUCUCACUAGCUAUCAAAAUGUUUGUCCAAAGUGUAUUGAUAUUGAUGUUAUCAGCAUGGUCGUUGGCGAUGCCACCGCCUUACCCAACGACGACGCUUUACCCAACGCCGCCUGUACUGACAUGUAUCUGUAGGGACGGGGUGGAGAUAUUCCAAGGCGAGAAACAUUAUGUAACAGAUUGUGAAAUAUGUGAAUGCGAUGCACAGUAUGGAGUUUCUACCAUUUAUGGUGAUUGUUUCGUCAUUGAAUGUGUUGAUUCUGUAGAUGUACCAAAUGAUGGCAACUGCUGUCCAACCUGUCCUAAUGGUCCUAACUGUGAAGCUGCCCUAAAUGGAGUUACACAUAUUAUUCCUGAUAAUGGUACAGUUUAUAUUGGUGAUAUUCCCUGCUCGUGUCUUCCUGUGGAUUAUUCUUCGUUUGAUGGUGCCAGAAAAGCUGACUGUUUUGUGCCUCUAGGUACAGCUCCACCGAUACCUACAUCAUCAACUGGUCCAGAACCAACAGGCUAGAUGAGUCAUGAGUGGUAGAUAAUUUAAGGAUAUUCUACACCAAACCUUCUACAUGAUAUACCAGCAACUGAUACUAUUAAAUAAACUGCUUGAAAUCCGA